Molecule: transfer RNA, 59 nt
Filed under: Porphyromonas pasteri
Lineage: Bacteria; Pseudomonadati; Bacteroidota; Bacteroidia; Bacteroidales; Porphyromonadaceae
Rfam family: tRNA
About the family: Transfer RNA (tRNA) molecules are approximately 80 nucleotides in length. Their secondary structure includes four short double-helical elements and three loops (D, anti-codon, and T loops).
Source: RNAcentral
CUUGGCCGAGUGGUUAGGCGCCGGUCUGCAAAACCGUUUACGGCGGUUCGAUUCCGCCA